RNAcentral lists this ribosomal RNA (273 nucleotides) under uncultured Anaerolineaceae bacterium. RNAcentral describes it as "partial 16S ribosomal RNA". It matches the Rfam family "Bacterial small subunit ribosomal RNA", at positions 1095 to 1382 of the family's 1533-position model. Lineage: Bacteria; Bacillati; Chloroflexota; Anaerolineae; Anaerolineales; Anaerolineaceae. The record is from RNAcentral.
AGCGCAACCCUCGUCGUAUGUUAUAUGUGUCAUACGAGACUGCCGGUAAAAGCCGGAGGAAGGUGAGGAUGAUGUCAAGUCAGCAUGACCUUUAUAUCCAGGGCUACACACACGCUACAAUGGUCUGUACAAUGGGUAGCCAAGCCGCGAGGCGGAGCCAAUCCUGAAAGCAGGACCUCAGUUCAGAUUGCAGUCUGCAACUCGACUGCAUGAAGCCGGAGUUGCUAGUAACCGCAGGUCAGCAAUACUGCGGUGAAUACGUUCCCGGGUCUU